UCUCGAAAAUGCAAUGGACUAUAGACACACAAAACAAUACUGUGAAAGUUAAGAGACAAUAAUCAACACGCUUAUACCUUCUUGAUGGAUCCCCACUAAUCAUCCUGAUAGAACCUAUUUUGGUCACCUUCAUUAUUCCUGCCAUCAUUGCUCACGUGAACUCCUUUUACACAAUGUCCAUAGACUAAUCUAUGUAAAAACUCAUUCUUUUAAAGCAGAGUCUCAACUCCCUAAGUUCUAAACACAAGCCUCUCUCUUUUCUCUCAACUUCAAUUCUUUUUCCUCUUCAACCCAACCUUGUUCUUUAUCUUUCUCAUUUGAAUCUUCAUCUUUUCUUGAGUUAGAGGGUAGAUUUGGGUUCAUGGUGGAGUUCUCUUUCAAUCCACCCGAACAGAUUCUACCUUCAAGUGUAAUUAGGGUUUUACAACUCAAAAAUCAUAUCGGGGGUUCUUCGUUGUUUCAGCUUUGGUCUACGUUUGAGAUGAAGAUGCAGGUUUAGAAACAUCUCUAAAGGAUGAAGAGUUUGUAAUAAGAGUCUCGAUAUUAUAACAGAGAUCAGAGUGGU
Vigna unguiculata (cowpea) is the source of this 565-nucleotide long non-coding RNA. NCBI's taxonomy places the organism in Eukaryota, Viridiplantae, Streptophyta, Magnoliopsida, Fabales, Fabaceae. The record is from RefSeq and is a predicted model, not a curated record.